RNAcentral lists this long non-coding RNA (9125 nucleotides) under Volvox carteri. RNAcentral describes it as "long non-coding RNA (VCAR_LNC000738)". Lineage: Eukaryota; Viridiplantae; Chlorophyta; Chlorophyceae; Chlamydomonadales; Volvocaceae. The record is from RNAcentral.
GGGGGUGCCUUCGAGGGACGGGGUACGGUGGAUGGUGGUGAAGCGGCAGAGGGGUUCAAGGAUGCCAGGUGGGCUGGGCAGGUAAAACCCGUUGCGACACGUACAAACUCACAAACAACCAUACAUACAACCAUACAUACACACAUACGUGCAGAGAUACCCCACUUCGUCAGUGCGACAUGGGUCUCUCACCUCCUUUCCCCCUUCCCCCGACCAAUCUCCCUAUCCACCUGCUGCCCCAUCAAUUAAACCCGACCCCGCCAACCCCCUCCGCUCCCUGGCCCGCACUCACCCGUCGCCCGAGUCAGCAAAUUGUUGGCAACACGUUCGUCCGGAAAGCCGUAAUACUUGACAAUCUGGACACGUGCAUGUGGUGGUGUGUGUGGUGGUGUGUGUGUGUGUAUGUGUAUGUGUAUACCAGCAGGUGAGGAGAGGGGGGGGCCGGGUGAGUAGGUGAGGGAAGGAGACUGGAGGAGAGAGACCAGGAAGUGUUGGGAAAGGAGGAAAGCGCUCUCCAAAAUCAAAGGAGCGGGACGGGAAGGCAAAACCUUAGGUCGGGAUAUGCCGUAUACGAACAACGACACGCCCGCACACUAUAAAACCUGACCGAAGGUGGUCUACCUUGGAGGUUGAACUCACUUUCCGCGCGCGGGGGGGUACCGGAGGUAGCACAAGCAAGGGGGCUAGUGCGCACGCAGGGUUGGUGGGUGGGAGCGAGUUCGCAAUGCCAAUGCCAUGCAAACAAGCGACGCGGCUACUGCAUCUUGAAUUCUUCAGGCAAGGGAGAGGGGGUUCAGUGGUGCCGGUGUUGUCAUGGUAUGCCGAUCCCCCAUCCGCGACCCCAAACCUUACCUCUUACGCGCCAUACACACCAGCGCAUCCCCCCCAUCGAAUUCUACUCCCCCCCCACACACACACACAUGCGCGCGCGCGAGCAGAGACGACCCCCACACCCUCACCCGCAACCCCCACACACACACCUCCUUGGGUGUCAUACUCGCCACACGCUUCAAGCAGGUCCCGAUUUGUGGCGGGUACUUGGUGCCCAUCUGCUCUCUCCCAUCGGGAAGAUAGCAACGGUAAUCGAAAAGCAGGCGCGGGUCGGCGAAGGCGUGGGGUAUGGCGUUACCGCCCGUCACGGUGGGCAGCUUCAGCACGUAGUGGUUGGCUAGGCGGACGAUCUCCUGCCUGACAGUACGGCAGGGAAUAAAUGUUUUUUGGGGGGAAAAGGGGGAAGGGAGGUUAAGCGGUAGUAACGGAGGCGAGGUUCUGGUUUGGUUUCCUCUUGGAAAUUUGCGAGGCGUGUGUGUGUGCGUGUGUGUACAAGAGGGGGAAAGACACUAUCUUGUGUGCCGUGCUUACCUCGGGAUUUCCUGGCCCCGUCUUCCCGCCAUGCUUCAUUUCAAUUUUCUUUCAGGUUUUUUAUAUCAGUCAUUUCACCAUGGGCCCCAAAACCCGCACGCCCCUUUAACCCUUUUCACACAACCCCUUUCCCCCGACCCCCCGUUGCAAAGGUCCUAAGCCACAAUAGAGUCCUGGGUGCUGUGCUGUCUUUUGACCCUUAGGGGUUUAGUUUUUUUACAUAAUCCGCUCCCUUACAACCCAUUUCACCCCUCGCCCCGUUCGCGUAUGUGUGUCUUGCACAUGAUUUCCCGUUCCGUCCCGUUCCGUCCCGUUCCGUCCCCUCCCGGCCCCUCCCCCGGUAAACCCCCUUCCCUUACUUUUGGGUCGUAGGCACCAGCACCGAAUCAAACGCGCAGUUGCGCCACAUGUGCUGAAGACACGACUCAUUGUCGAUGAGCUUGAAGUUUCCGUCUUCUUGGAUCAGCAAGUUUUGCGCGUGGCGGUCGCAUUGACUGGUCAACAGGUCAAAGAUGGCCGCGCGUAUGACACGCGUCGUGUUUAGUCGGUUGUUGAACAGGUCAGCAAUGGUCUCCAACGGCAGCCGCUUAGGAACGCCCUUGAAGAGCACGUUCUCCAAACUGACUCCCUCCACGUACUCCAUCCAUAAGCCCCACCUGAACAAAACAACAAUAACAACACAGAGGGAGCGAGAGAAAGGGGAGUGUAACAUAAACGGAGAGGGGAAGGAAAGGAAAGAAAACCCAAAGCAGACGAAGGCGGUCUGUCACAACCGUCACAAACCAACUUCCGUCCGAGUACAUCAACCAACCGUAGGGAAACCCUUUCUCAACCCCACACCCCCAGGCAAUAACGCCAUAACUAACAAAAACCGCCUUCCCAGCCCCCCCCCUUUCCCCAGCCUCCAGUCCACUGCCCCCCUUUCCCUGGGCUCCCCUACUGGGCUCCCCCCUUCCCUUAGGCUGCCCCAACUCGCCAGUGGAUGGGAUACCCCACUCCGGGCAGUAUCCCCAACACGGGGGCCAGCCACAUGCGGGGAAUGAGGUCCUGUAUGUAUAUCGGGGUCGGGGGAGGGGGGUUGCAUGGAGGGGGGAAAAGGGGCAAGGUGGGAGGCGGGGGGAAAGACGAACCAUGACCGAGUGAAACUGCUGCCAGGGCAAGAGUGUACCAGGAGUAGAACUGGGGAGGCGGGGGGGAACAUGGAAGAGGUAGCACGGCAAACAGCCGGGGAGGGGGGCAGGCGGGGCGGAAUCAUCAUAUGCAAGGAACCAGGAAUGAACUGCCACGGCGUCCAAAAGGCAGGAGGGGAGGGAGGUAUAUGAACGUGGGUCCCUGCUGGCUUCAUGAAACUCUUUGUAAUACGCGGCGUCACAUCCAGCUUCAUGUCCAUCGUCACAUCCAGCUUCAUGUCCAUCUGUCUGUCCAUUCGUCUGUCUGUCUGCGCAUGCCCUCGUUCUUUAACCGUCCAACCGCCUCACACCUAAAUCCGGUCUGAUCUGGUGGCGCCUUUGUGUAUAUGAAGGUUCCGGAUUCGGGAGAUCUAGGUUUACUAACGCUGCUGAGGUGUGGAGAUGAGGUCUAGUUGAUGGACUGAGUUUCGCAUGCUGAGAUGGUGGUGAUGGCUGACCUGUCUCUACGGAUGUCGGGUGACUGGAUGAGGAGGGGUCUAGUUGGCAGGACCCAGACCGCCGUCUGUUGUACGGUGUAAUCAACUUUCAAUGUAUAUAGUCCAUGGCCUCCCGGCUUUGACGAAACCCCCCGCACUCGUGCGGCACUUGUAACUUGUAACUUGAAACCUGAAUCCGCCGUAUUCCUAAGACUCAUGGUGCCAAGUGCCCUUCCCGGCAUCCCAUAUCAUCUCAUCCCAGUCGGCAAUCUUCUUCGACCUGCCCUAUACCCGAUGCCGCCGUUCCCCCUGUCCCCUGCUUCUUCCCCCCUUCGCCCUCGCCCUCUCUCCCCCCCACUACCUCGUCGUACCGUGAAUCCGCAAUCUUGCGACAGCUUGUCCAGCGCCAGGAGAUGCCUCAUGAUCUCGGCAAUACGCACCGGGUUGCAUGUGGGUUUAGAGCCGGUUACACGCUUAGAGAUGGGUAUGCAGUACACCUUGACCACAGCCUCGCCGGAGGGGGUCAUGUUCGUGUUCGUACGGAAAAUCCAACUGCGGUACGGCAGGACCAGCGCGGAGUCGGCGGGCAGGGAGGGACAAGGCAGGUCCGGGGGCGCAGUUCAACCAGGGGCAUGUGUAUGUGUAUGUGUGCGUAUGUGUGCGUGUUGGGGGCCACCCGUCACUACUAACCCCGAGGUUAGCAGUUUUGGCGGAGAUUUUUUAUGGACCUAUAGGGGCCCCCACGGGGACCUUACUAUCCUCAUUGCUCAGUGACGACCAGUCCUCCUCAAGUGUCGACCCACGGGUCAGUAGUGACCCAUGCAGUCGAGGGGGCCGACGGAUCAGCCAGAGCGCGCGCGGCCGUAAACAGGUAAAUCCAACAAAAGCUGUGUUACCACCACCACCUGCCUGUUCGUGGCGCCCAUCUCGCUAGAGUAGGUGUUGUUCAGGAAGAUGAUGUGUUCGGAGAUGAGUGUGAGAUUGUGGUGGCAGCCGUAGCAUUCUGCGCACUCGGGCAGCGAGGCCAUGUCGUUUUGUGAUUGCGGACGGUAGCUGGAAGGUUUGAAUUGGAUAGGUACGAGCGGAUCCAGCUCCGGGUCGUACAUCGGAGCGCGCUUCUUCCGUAUGGGUAGGACCUGCUUUGCGGUAGUUGUGGCAAUGCGAGGACCGCCGCCAGCGGCUGCGGCGGUAGCUUGGGAUAGUGUUCGAGCAUGGGGGUGGGUUAAACUGGAAGUAGCGGCGGCCGUUGCGCUGCUGGCUGUUGCGGAGUCGGCGGCGGCUGAUGCCAAGGCGGAUCCGCUGGAACCGUCCGGGGGAAUCUCACCGAGAUGGCACUUGUGGCAUAACCGGCACUGGGAAAUAUGCGGCAUGGCCGCGUCCGCCGACUGCGAUAGCGAAUCAUGUCAACGGCAGCGGACGGAGGUUAUCAGCCGGGCCUGGAUCAGCGGAGAGAUAAAUGAGCAUUACUUACGCCUAUGAGACCUGCCCAUCCAAGCGCAAGGAUGAGCAGACUACGAGGGGUUGGUUGGACUCCCAUUGUAAUGGGCUGGUAACGGUUUCCUGCUACUCGAGGAAUAUUCUAGUUCGUUGUAUAUAUCUAUCUGCCAUCUGGAGCAAAAGAGCCUAGCGUCUGCAACAUUUCCUGUGUCUUGUAAGGUCCCAGUUUAUCAAAAGCUAAUGGGCGUGAUAUACAAAAUGCUGCAGUAAUCUUUUUCUUUGUGCCGAGUACAUAUGCUAUACACGGAGCAUAGGAGCGCGGUUGUGACGCUUAUCGGCAUGUUAAUGCGUGCAGCUCGCAAUACGGUAUACGAACAAGAUUUAGUGAUUCCGCACGCGCGUGAGAUAUGAAUAUUGAUCACAAAUCAUCUUUAAACUGCGAUGACCAGCAAACCUAUGAUAAUAGUAUUGUUGCCAAAAAAGGUCUUGCGAAAAUGUUUCGCAGGACCUGCUUAGUGCCUUGCGAGAACAGCUCUAUGACUUAGCUCGUCAAAGGAGGGCCUGUAAAGCUUGAAUGUUUAAGAUAAGACUGGGUCGAAGUCCCUGGAGUCCCGGCUAAAGCACGGUUGGACUCCUCGGCAGGAGGAACCCCGUUGUCGAGAAAACGAUGCGCAAGGGCAGGAAUGCUUUGGGUCCAAACCAAUGUAAGCGCCAGGAUUAUAACCCAGGCGGGAUGUGACUGUUCACCCACCAGCUAGGAACGGGAAGUUGGGUUGCAGCUUACGUCCACGUUUACGGAUGGAUGCAGCAUAGGGGGGCCAACAAGGGGCUGGAUAUCAUGUCUGGAUUGCCCGGAUUCAUACUGAUGACUUUCGCAGCCUUGUUCACAGUUAGUGUCAGCAACGGCCCGCGCGAGCCGUGGACUCCUGUUUGCUACCUUCGAUCUCCUGGACAUGUUGCCUCCAUCUAAGCUCAUGUACUGGCCGGUGUAAGGUAGUUGGCAGCCGUAAUGGCUCCAGGAUAAGACCUGCCAGUUAGAGAUGGAGAAGCGCGGCGCAGGUGCUGCUGGUGCCACCGAUGCCGAGUGCCAUCUCUUUGUCAUCUCUCUCUCUCCCUUUUCCGUCCUCUUUAUGAAUCUUUCCCCAGGUUGUUCCUGCUGCCAAAUGGUAAGCCUGUUCAAAUUAAAUCAUCUGUUACCCACCUGGAUAGAACAGGUACACGGAACAACACAGGACAGGGCGGGACAACCCAGGACAGCCCAGGACAGCACGCAUGAUACUCAUUAAGCUGAGGGAGAUGGCCGAUAAAGGCGGGAGAGCUGCACCUGGUAUCAUUCCGCUCGGUUCCGGUUCCUGCCGUCUAACGGUUUUAACGGCUCCUUCAUUCCAUUACGCUCGAAUUGCUUCCUAUCUCUAGCUAACCAUCACAUGGUUUUACGUUUAUGCGCAGAAGUGAUCUCUAUGAGACACCUAAGCUGCUGAACUAUCCUUCGUGCUUUGCAGCAGCUAGUAAUGUGCGAUACUGUCUAGCAGAUGUGCUUUUUCCACACGUGCAAAAAACAACCCCUUAAUACCUACGAUCUAACUAACUGCCAUUGCUUCCUUACAAAAUGCUGCAGCGGCUCCUUGCGGCCGCAUGGCAAGGCAGCGCAUUAUCCUUUAAAUUAGCCACACCAUGUUUUAAUAAACAGCGACAGAUUUGCGCUAGUGCCUGUUGCGCAGACUUGCGGGAAUUUUUCGAUUGGGAAUCGCGGGAUGGGAAAGGCAAUGAAGCCUACGGUAAGCAACAUAUGGGGCAUCGGCGGCAGCAGUGUGGUCGUCAGGAGCAACUUGCGGACCACGUCGCGCAGGGCGAGCGUGGAACCUGGACGAGCUGCGGAACAAAUCCUGGCAGGACCUCCAUAAGCUCUGGUGGGCGUCUGUUCGAUGCUUUGAAUGCAACCACAUUCCGCCUUUACUCCGCAAGGUGUAGGGAGCUGUACUUUUUAAAGCCGAUUCAGGCCCUUUCGAACCGCACGAUUCAGCCCAACCCAGCCCGACCUGCCCAACCCAUCGUCUUGGCCAGCACGCUCUGGAGCCAAAUUCAGCCCAGCCUGUAACAGUGAAGCUAGCAAGAUCAGCAAGACCCCAUAGGACACAAACAGGAAGUGCGAACCCCCACACGCGGUCCAUCUCCCGCUGUUUCCCCCAACAACACAUACACCGCUGUCUCCCGCACAGGUACGUGUGUGUCAAGGAGCGCAACCUGCUGCUGACCGAGAUGGGCUUCAAGAACAUUCCAAAAAAUGCCGCGGAGCAGAGGGCUCGGGGCAUACCUCCCGGAACCGACAUGGUGGAGCAGGACCAGCACAGGCUGAGAUACAAGGAGGUAAGAAAGCCAUCCGCAUGCCUGCGUGUAGGUAUAUGCGUAGGUGUGUAGGUGUCUGAGGAGGGGACGAGGGUGUUUAGGAAAGCUUUGGUUGUCGUCCAGCACCUUAUCGCGGCAGGAAAGCUGCUGCAGCGCUGAAAUCAACCACAGCACGCUGCACUUUAUUAAUCCUACACCUCACCAAAGAACCUCUACCGGAAGACAAGUUAUCCAUGGAGGCUUUGGGGAUACACGAUACGUUUACGAGUAUUUCAGUAAUCAGCGUUAGAGUAAUAAAGGGAUGCGAUAUAGGCGUGGGUGGAGAGAUACAGGGGGCUGGGGACCCAUGGCGCCUGAGGGAUUGGGGAGCCCGAUCGGACUUUGAGACGUAGGGUGUCUCGCGGUUUGGGCAGUGGGGAAAGGGAAAGGGGAGAUGGGAUUGGGGGUGAUGGGGCAACAGGGGGUGCGGUUUUGAGGUAAUGCCCACUUCCAAGGGCACUGACGGCGCCGUCGUGCACAGUGUUGCUGUACGGGAGGGCCCUGGAGCAGGACUACGGAGGCCUCAUGACUACUAAAUCCUUGCUGCUGCUGCUGCUGCUGGUGUUGUCAUUUCAGCUAUUAACCCUGCUAUAUGCUGUACAAGUCACGAGCUAUACCCCUGCUAUAUGUUUCCUGAUCCAGAUCUCCUACAACCUGUGCCAUCAGUUCCGCACUUCCUAACCCCAUAUCUCAUCUGGGUUCGCCGUGGGUCAUAAAUAUUCCUGAUGCAGUAUUUGUCUUCUCCUGGAACAUCCGUCUGUCGUCUGUGCUUCGUCGUACGUACCCCACGUCUCCUCACCCGUGCCUCAUCUGCAUGUUCACGCUCGCGUUCGCCUUCACGUUCCGGUCACCUUCGGGCUCCCAAGUGUGCCAUAAUUCUCCCCUGUUCCUGAAACACGAAAACCUGUUCCCGCCCUCUCAACCAACCGUCCAGGUUCAAAAAACGCUGCGAAACAUUCGGCAGGUACUUCAAGAGCGGGUGGACAUACAGCUGGUUCCCUCGAUGAAACGCGAGAUGCAAGAGGUCAUUGACGCGCGAUGAGGGGACAGGGAGAUGGACUGUUUCGCCCUAAUGUUGCUUAAUUAGGAGAACUGAUCAGCACGAGUCCAAACUUACAACUGCAGGCACAAAAGGGGGGAAGCCAUAAGAGGACGAGUUGGGUUCGCAUGUAGGCGAUAUGGCCGCAGCUAUGGGGGGUCAGUAGGGGACCUGGGAGGGGGGAAAGAUGGAAAAAAGCGGGGAAGCGGUGACCCACGUGGAGGAGGGGGUUGGGAAGGGAAUCUCGCGGAUCCACAUGCGGGUGAUGUAAAGGCCGUGACGUGGGGAAUUUGGAAUCCGGGAAAAGGGAGGAAAAGUGGGGACUUGGGGAGUUGCGGCGGACACACGCUCACCUCAGCCGGCCAUGGGCCCAGGCACCCGGUGGAUCUGCAAGGUAGGCUGUUUGACACAGCGGCAGGCUGUUUGGUAAGGACGUAGGUGAUUGGCUGAACGUUCAACCACAAUUCAAUGGACAGUUUCGUGAGCCUGUCAACUCGGAUAGGGCCCUCGGGGAUGUAUACCUGGGAGGACAAAAAAAGUUCUAGUGUUCAACAUUGAGUCCCAACACGUUCAUCGCUGAUCGCUUAAUACACGCCGGGAUUAUUUAUCCUGUAGCCUAAUUUUUACUUCUUGGCGUCCUCGAUUUGCGGUAUUCGGAAUAUAAACCUUCACCUUCAUCAACUGUCUUCUGCCCCGCUUAACUUGGGGAUGGACUGAGGGCCUUGCGCGCGGCGGGACAAGGACACUUAUGCGCAUUGGCUGGGGACAAGUCCCCGCCACAAACACAUUGUCGUUUUAAACCGCCGUAGUCUUGCAUCUCAGCAACGGACAAACAGUGCGUGCGCAACAGGCAGCUCGACACCGGAGCACAAGACUGCUGCCGUCGGAACGGGACGUUAAGGGUAUCUUGUUACGACCCCGGGACAAGUGUGCAGGCCACAUAUCUCCGCACCAUGGAUGGAGCUGUUGCAUGUGUUGCCACGGCGGCGUUGUAUGAUGUCAUAUUCCUAAUGCUGGUUCAGAAUGAGGAGUAAUGCUUGAAGGCGAUAUAGGCUAGGGUUAAGAGGACUAGCACUCUGGGUCAGCACACAGGCGCCCGCGCGUGUGUUAAGAAAUCCGCCACUCCACGCGAGGAAUUGCCAAUCAUGAAACUCAUGUGGAGUGGUAUGUACAUAUUUCUAUAACAGUAACAAUGAAAAAUGAAUUAGUGAUCAUGGUAACAACAAGAAUAAGAAUACUACGAGUAAUGAUAAGGUAAGAAUACGCCUGCCGCCGCCUGGCGUAUGUUAAGGGGUA